UCUCCUGAAGCUCAAUGGUAGAGCGUCCGUCUAGGGUGCGGAAGGUCAUAGGUUUGAUUCCUGUUUAAAGAA
Molecule: non-coding RNA, 72 nt
Organism: Desmophyllum pertusum
Lineage: Eukaryota; Metazoa; Cnidaria; Anthozoa; Scleractinia; Caryophylliidae
Source: the annotation of a GenBank genome assembly